This 87-nucleotide transfer RNA is filed under the name Clostridiales bacterium. RNAcentral's name for it is "tRNA-Leu". It matches the Rfam family "tRNA". From Rfam's summary of the family: Transfer RNA (tRNA) molecules are approximately 80 nucleotides in length. Lineage: Bacteria; Bacillati; Bacillota; Clostridia; Eubacteriales. The record is from RNAcentral. RNAcentral also lists the same sequence under 1 other name.
GCCGGUGUGAUGGAAUUGGCAGACGUGCUGGACUCAAAAUCCAGUGGUAGCAAUACCGUGUCGGUUCGACCCCGACCACCGGCACCA